UAGGGAAUUUUCCACAAUGGGCGAAAGCCUGAUGGAGCAACGCCGCGUGAGGGAUGAAGCAUUUCGGUGUGUAAACCUCUUUGGAGCGGGAAGAACGCCGUUUGGGUGAACAAUCCAGACGGGUGACGGUACCGCUAGAACAAGACACGGCUAACUUCGUGCCAGCAGCCGCGGUAAUACGAAGGUGUCAAACGUUGUCCGGAAUAACUGGGCGUAAAGGGCGCGUAGGCGGUCGCGUAAGUCAGAUGUGAAAGCUCUGGGCUCAACCCAGGAAUUGCAUUUGAUACUGCGUGACUAGAGUUCGGUAGAGGAGGGCGGAAUUCCAGGUGUAGCGGUGAAAUGCGUAGAUAUCUGGAGGAACACCCGUGGCGAAGGCGGCUCUCUGGUCCGAUACUGACGCUGAGGCGCGAAAGCUAGGGUAGCAAACAGG
RNAcentral lists this ribosomal RNA (430 nucleotides) under uncultured bacterium. RNAcentral describes it as "bacterial SSU rRNA". It matches the Rfam family "Bacterial small subunit ribosomal RNA", at positions 355 to 776 of the family's 1533-position model. The record is from RNAcentral.